RNAcentral lists this ribosomal RNA (476 nucleotides) under Hyperolius hutsebauti. Its description in RNAcentral is "partial 16S ribosomal RNA". It matches the Rfam family "Bacterial large subunit ribosomal RNA", at positions 1858 to 2553 of the family's 2925-position model. Lineage: Eukaryota; Metazoa; Chordata; Amphibia; Anura; Hyperoliidae. The record is from RNAcentral.
CCUGCCCCGUGAACUAAUUCAACGGCCGCGGUAUCUUGACCGUGCAAAGGUAGCAUAAUCAAUUGUUCUUUAAAUAAGGACUAGUAUGAACGGCAUCACGAGGGUUUAACUGUCUCCCUAUUUUAAUCAAUGAAAUUGAUCCCCCCGUGAAGAAGCGGGGAUAUAACUAUAAGACGAAAAGACCCCAUGGAGCUUUAAACUUAUUUUCAAUUACCAAAACCAAAACAUACACCCGGUAAAAAUGAUAAUCGUUUUCGGUUGGGGCGACCCUGGAGAAAAACAAAUCCUCCAAGCUGAAUAAAUUAAAAUUUAAUGUUAGAGUAACAACUCAAACAAUCAAAACCUUGACAAAAUGACCCAGAAUUCAUCUGAUCAGCGAACCAAGUUACCCUGGGGAUAACAGCGCAAUCCAUUUCAAGAGCCCUUAUCGACAAAUGGGUUUACGACCUCGAUGUUGGAUCGGGGUAUCCUAGCAG